Homo sapiens (human) is the source of this 1646-nucleotide long non-coding RNA. The record is from Ensembl. NCBI's taxonomy places the organism in Eukaryota, Metazoa, Chordata, Mammalia, Primates, Hominidae.
GGUCUCAUGACCGGGAAGGGAGAAAAACAAAAGGGAGACGAGACACAACUCUAAGGGAAGGAUGUGUGUGCGUGCGUGUGUGUAUGAGAGUGUGUGUACGUGCGCGCGCUCUCCCUCCUCUGCUGGGAGAAAGGAGGCUCCGGCAGCGGACAGGCAGCAGCCAUCCUCCCACCCUGGAGACCAGUGGCCCCGGUGGGUCCAGCUCGCACCCUCUGAUUGUGGCGGUCGCCCGUCCUGGUCCCCCACGCGCCGCGGAAGCUGGGGGAGCUGUCAGCCUGCUCCCCUCCUCUGGCUGCCUUCACUCGCCUGUCCGCCCCAGAGCUCGCUUUCCCUCCCGGGCGGCUGUACCGUUGUGGGCUACGUUCAGAGAAGUCCCACUAUUGCCAUGAGCAGGGACAUAAUAGAGUUUAAAGGCCGCCGUAUUUUCUAAGUUUUAAAACAGUUUGCUUCGACGCCGUUGUUUAUGACAACCGCGUGGCAACACCAGGCACAAUCUAAUGUUGGUUCCAAUCCUUCCCCUCUUUCUCUACCCCCGCUUUCCCCCUUUUCCCAAAGUGGGGCACAACUUGGUGUGGUCUUCAAUGGGGAUUGGUUUUGUGGGGAUGGACCAUUCACUACGGAUUGAUUGAUUUAAGAACCGCUUAUUUAAAUAAGUGGUGUUCAGGGUCAGAGGAUUGUUUCAGAAGACAGUUGCAUAGAGCAAGGUGGAUUCGUGUUACACUGAUCUUAUUCACAUUCAAAGGGAGUGAUAGACAUUUCAUUCUUUCCGAAGUUCACAGUUGCUGAAAAAAAAAUAUUUGGGAACUCUGCCACUGUUUUCCGGUGAGAUAUAGAAUUUUGUACUCUUGUUUACUACUGGGUUCCCUUCAGGCACUUUCACUUUUGUUUUUCGUGAGUUUCCUUUCUGGUUUUUUUUUUUUUCCUCUAUUUCUUAAUUCAGAGCAGAAAUGGACUUCAUAGUUGAGCAGGGUUCCUGGCUUUUACAGGGAGAGAAACGGAGACUCUGAGUAGUGCUAGGAGUUGCUCUAGGGCACACAUUUAAUUAGAGCCCAGCUUGGAUUGCGCCCUGCUCACCUGUCGUUUCUCUUAGGGGUUGGCUAUAAGAGGAUGGGGUGGGGACGGGACUCACGGAACAUCGCUAUGUGCUUAUUGUGAAUUAUUUUUAUUAGACUCACAGAGUUGACCACUCUCCCCUUUGUGCAUCCACUGUAUGGUUUUUACAUUUAUUUUCUGGUGCCUUUCACAGAUCAGCGUACGGCACAGUUGCUGUAUCUCCCACUAGGGUAAGCUUUGAGGCCAGGGCCAUGCCAUACUCAUUUUAUAUCUCCCAUAUUUAGCACCAUGACUAGCAAUGAAUGAGCAAAUGAAGGCCUGAAGAGGAUCUUUUCCAUAAUUCCAUCCUAGGAAAUUCCUUGCAUGUUUCUGGUGAAGGUAGAACACUGGAGAUGCUUUUUGAUUCUUACACCUCUGCAGACCAUUUUUGGCAGUCUUCUUUAGUUACAAAGCCAGGCAAAACAUGUUUUGCUUUUCUCAAUUUUUUAAAUCAACUGCUUCCCCCCUCGCCCCGCCCCGCCCCUCGUUUUACCAUAUUUGGUUCCUCUUCUUUAAAUUCUUUCUGAUUCAUAUGAAUAAAUUAGUUAUGCCAA